UGGUUGGUCUUCCCUGGAGCAGGAAGCACAUACUUUGCUCAUUUCUCUUCCCUUUCACACUGGGCUGUUUGUGAGAUUAUUUUUGUGUGUGUGAGUGUGUGGCUGAAAAAAAACAUAUCAUUUCUUGGAUCGACUCCAGGGCCAGAGAUUUUGUUCCCAAACGGACUGGUUCAGAGGCACAUUUUAAAGCAGAAUGUCACAAGGCGGCUAUCCAGCACCCGGCUAUCCUGGGUAUCCUCCCCCGGGUGGAGAUGCAGGCUACCCUCCCGCGGGCCAGUACCCAUAUCCUGGGGGGCCGGGGGGGUACCCAGGG
Long non-coding RNA from Callorhinchus milii (elephant shark), 313 nucleotides. RefSeq lists it as uncharacterized. The record is from RefSeq and is a predicted model, not a curated record. The transcript is spliced from 3 exons. NCBI's taxonomy places the organism in Eukaryota, Metazoa, Chordata, Chondrichthyes, Chimaeriformes, Callorhinchidae.